RNAcentral lists this transfer RNA (72 nucleotides) under Bos taurus (domestic cattle). It matches the Rfam family "tRNA". From Rfam's summary of the family: Transfer RNA (tRNA) molecules are approximately 80 nucleotides in length. Their secondary structure includes four short double-helical elements and three loops (D, anti-codon, and T loops). The record is from Rfam by way of RNAcentral. RNAcentral also lists the same sequence under 3 other names. Lineage: Eukaryota; Metazoa; Chordata; Mammalia; Artiodactyla; Bovidae.
UUCAUGAUGGCUCAGACGGUAAAGCAUCUGUCUGCAAUGCAGGAGACCUGGGUUUGAUCCCUGGUUUAGGAA